UACGAAGGGUGCGAGCGUUGUUCGGAAUCACUGGGCGUAAAGGGCGUGUAGGCGGUCCGCUAAGUCUGAUGUGAAAGCCCGGGGCUCACCCCCGGAAGGGCAUUGGAAACUGACGGACUCGAGUCCCGAAGAGGAGGGUGGAAUUCCUGGUGUAGCGGUGAAAUGCGUAGAUAUCAGGAGGAACACCGGUGGCGAAGGCGGCCCUCUGGACGGUGACUGACGCUGAGACGCGAAAGCGUGGGGAGCAAACAGG
Molecule: ribosomal RNA, 253 nt
Filed under: uncultured bacterium
Lineage: Bacteria
Description: partial 16S ribosomal RNA
Rfam family: Bacterial small subunit ribosomal RNA
Source: RNAcentral